AUGUAUAACUCGUACAUGCCAGCUCCUUCGCCCCGUCCGCACCCACCUGACGACUAAUCGCUACGUUGUGUCAGCC
RNAcentral lists this small RNA (76 nucleotides) under Xanthomonas nasturtii. RNAcentral describes it as "sX9 sRNA". It matches the Rfam family "Xanthomonas sRNA sX9". The record is from RNAcentral. Lineage: Bacteria; Pseudomonadati; Pseudomonadota; Gammaproteobacteria; Lysobacterales; Lysobacteraceae.